Molecule: long non-coding RNA, 303 nt
Organism: Limulus polyphemus (Atlantic horseshoe crab)
Lineage: Eukaryota; Metazoa; Arthropoda; Merostomata; Xiphosura; Limulidae
Exons: 2
Source: RefSeq, a predicted model, not a curated record
GAUCAAUUGGAUGCGUGUACUUAGUACUUGCUGAUAUUACAUUUAUAGGAAAGAAGAGAGAGAGAGAGCAGAAUAUUUGAGACGAUCGUAGUUGGUAUAUUUUCUAUUAUUUGAUUCAACCGUUACAUUGCAUGAGACAGUCACCAGGUAAGAAACAAGCAGCCAUGUCAUCUAAUUCUCACACAGCAGAGAAAUCUAGCAACGGUGAGUGUCAGAAAGAAAAGGACACUCAAGGAUGUCACCAUAGUAACAAAGGUUGCUGUCAGUGUGAUACUCAUUGUACAGGAUGUCACCAUGGAGAUA